Molecule: microRNA precursor, 127 nt
Filed under: Melampsora larici-populina 98AG31
Lineage: Eukaryota; Fungi; Basidiomycota; Pucciniomycetes; Pucciniales; Melampsoraceae
Description: microRNA MIR807
Source: RNAcentral
AAUUCACCCAUAUGUAUUUUCUUUCACAUAUGGGUGAAUGCAAUAUGAGUAAAUCAAAAUCACCAAUUAAAAUGUUAUUUUAGUAGGGAUUCACCCACAUGUGAAAUAAAAUACAUAUGGGUGAAUU